This is a long non-coding RNA of Rosa chinensis, 194 nucleotides long. RefSeq lists it as uncharacterized. The record is from RefSeq and is a predicted model, not a curated record. Lineage: Eukaryota; Viridiplantae; Streptophyta; Magnoliopsida; Rosales; Rosaceae. The transcript has 2 exons.
UGCAGUACUGUGACUGCGAAGACGUCCAAUUGAACUACGGCGACCUACUCUCAAGCUUUGGUGGCGACAUCUAACUUGCAUCACUCUGAAUCAUAUUCUAGCAGUUUUGUUCAUAUUGGUUGAUCAUCAGAUUGCUGGGAAAUUUAAGGACAAUUACAAUUUGGAGCUCUGAUUUUGCCUUCAUUUGAUAGUUG